UGGGGAAUAUUGGACAAUGGGCGAAAGCCUGAUCCAGCAAUGCCGCGUGGGUGAAGAAGGUCUUCGGAUUGUAAAGCCCUUUCGGCGGGGACGAUGAUGACGGUACCCGCAGAAGAAGCCCCGGCUAACUUCGUGCCAGCAGCCGCGGUAAUACGAAGGGGGCUAGCGUUGCUCGGAAUGACUGGGCGUAAAGGGCGCGUAGGCGGCGCACUUAGUCGGGCGUGAAAGUCCUGGGCUCAACCUGGGGACGGCGCUCGAUACGGGUGUGCUUGAGUGUGGAAGAGGGUUGUGGAAUUCCCAGUGUGGAGGUGAAAUUCGUAGAUAUUGGGAAGAACACCGGUGGCGAAGGCGGCAACCUGGUCCAUUACUGACGCUGAGGCGCGAAAGCGUGGGGAGCAAACA
This 402-nucleotide ribosomal RNA is filed under the name uncultured bacterium. RNAcentral describes it as "bacterial SSU rRNA". It matches the Rfam family "Bacterial small subunit ribosomal RNA", at positions 355 to 774 of the family's 1533-position model. The record is from RNAcentral.